Molecule: ribosomal RNA, 1966 nt
Filed under: Shigella sonnei
Lineage: Bacteria; Pseudomonadati; Pseudomonadota; Gammaproteobacteria; Enterobacterales; Enterobacteriaceae
Description: bacterial LSU rRNA
Rfam family: Bacterial large subunit ribosomal RNA
Source: RNAcentral
GGAGACACACGGCGGGUGCUAACGUCCGUCGUGAAGAGGGAAACAACCCAGACCGCCAGCUAAGGUCCCAAAGUCAUGGUUAAGUGGGAAACGAUGUGGGAAGGCCCAGACAGCCAGGAUGUUGGCUUAGAAGCAGCCAUCAUUUAAAGAAAGCGUAAUAGCUCACUGGUCGAGUCGGCCUGCGCGGAAGAUGUAACGGGGCUAAACCAUGCACCGAAGCUGCGGCAGCGACGCUUAUGCGUUGUUGGGUAGGGGAGCGUUCUGUAAGCCUGCGAAGGUGUGCUGUGAGGCAUGCUGGAGGUAUCAGAAGUGCGAAUGCUGACAUAAGUAACGAUAAAGCGGGUGAAAAGCCCGCUCGCCGGAAGACCAAGGGUUCCUGUCCAACGUUAAUCGGGGCAGGGUGAGUCGACCCCUAAGGCGAGGCCGAAAGGCGUAGUCGAUGGGAAACAGGUUAAUAUUCCUGUACUUGGUGUUACUGCGAAGGGGGGACGGAGAAGGCUAUGUUGGCCGGGCGACGGUUGUCCCGGUUUAAGCGUGUAGGCUGGUUUUCCAGGCAAAUCCGGAAAAUCAAGGCUGAGGCGUGAUGACGAGGCACUACGGUGCUGAAGCAACAAAUGCCCUGCUUCCAGGAAAAGCCUCUAAGCAUCAGGUAACAUCAAAUCGUACCCCAAACCGACACAGGUGGUCAGGUAGAGAAUACCAAGGCGCUUGAGAGAACUCGGGUGAAGGAACUAGGCAAAAUGGUGCCGUAACUUCGGGAGAAGGCACGCUGAUAUGUAGGUGAAGUCCCUUGCGGAUGGAGCUGAAAUCAGUCGAAGAUACCAGCUGGCUGCAACUGUUUAUUAAAAACACAGCACUGUGCAAACACGAAAGUGGACGUAUACGGUGUGACGCCUGCCCGGUGCCGGAAGGUUAAUUGAUGGGGUCAGCGCAAGCGAAGCUCUUGAUCGAAGCCCCGGUAAACGGCGGCCGUAACUAUAACGGUCCUAAGGUAGCGAAAUUCCUUGUCGGGUAAGUUCCGACCUGCACGAAUGGCGUAAUGAUGGCCAGGCUGUCUCCACCCGAGACUCAGUGAAAUUGAACUCGCUGUGAAGAUGCAGUGUACCCGCGGCAAGACGGAAAGACCCCGUGAACCUUUACUAUAGCUUGACACUGAACAUUGAGCCUUGAUGUGUAGGAUAGGUGGGAGGCUUUGAAGUGUGGACGCCAGUCUGCAUGGAGCCGGCCUUGAAAUACCACCCUUUAAUGUUUGAUGUUCUAACGUGGACCCGUGAUCCGGGUUGCGGACAGUGUCUGGUGGGUAGUUUGACUGGGGCGGUCUCCUCCUAAAGAGUAACGGAGGAGCACGAAGGUUGGCUAAUCCUGGUCGGACAUCAGGAGGUUAGUGCAAUGGCAUAAGCCAGCUUGACUGCGAGCGUGACGGCGCGAGCAGGUGCGAAAGCAGGUCAUAGUGAUCCGGUGGUUCUGAAUGGAAGGGCCAUCGCUCAACGGAUAAAAGGUACUCCGGGGAUAACAGGCUGAUACCGCCCAAGAGUUCAUAUCGACGGCGGUGUUUGGCACCUCGAUGUCGGCUCAUCACAUCCUGGGGCUGAAGUAGGUCCCAAGGGUAUGGCUGUUCGCCAUUUAAAGUGGUACGCGAGCUGGGUUUAGAACGUCGUGAGACAGUUCGGUCCCUAUCUGCCGUGGGCGCUGGAGAACUGAGGGGGGCUGCUCCUAGUACGAGAGGACCGGAGUGGACGCAUCACUGGUGUUCGGGUUGUCAUGCCAAUGGCACUGCCCGGUAGCUAAAUGCGGAAGAGAUAAGUGCUGAAAGCAUCUAAGCACGAAACUUGCCCCGAGAUGAGUUCUCCCUGACCCUUUAAGGGUCCUGAAGGAACGUUGAAGACGACGACGUUGAUAGGCCGGGUGUGUAAGCGCAGCGAUGCGUUGAGCUAACCGGUACUAAUGAACCGUGAGGCUUAACCUU